RNAcentral lists this unclassified non-coding RNA (4767 nucleotides) under Ooceraea biroi (clonal raider ant). Its description in RNAcentral is "activating transcription factor 7-interacting protein 1, transcript variant X4". Lineage: Eukaryota; Metazoa; Arthropoda; Insecta; Hymenoptera; Formicidae. The record is from RNAcentral.
UUAAAAUAUAUAUUUCUUAAUUUAAAAAAUAUUUUCAAGUAACAUUUUAGUAAAAAUCAAAAUUAAGUAAGUUCUUGAUUAUUAAUAGUGACAUGAAGUCAUCCAGCCAAUCGCAAGCCAAGGUCAAGUUGAGUUUAUCUGUGAAUUCUUGUGUCUAUGAGCACGACCAAAUAUAUACUUGAAGGAAAUGAGAAAUAAUACUCAGGAUUUGCAAAUUUUACGAUUGAUAACAUACUUUAAAAUAAUUUAUUUCUAGAAAUUAAAAACAUUUAAUGAGAGAUAAUGUUGGAAAACAUUUUCAUCAUUUAAUUCUUCAUGAAUAUUUGCACUAACAAUAAGUGAAUAUAGGGCACUAUAUUUUUUUCGCAAAGUAAAACAUAAUUGCAGAAUAUGUUAUUAUUAUUUUUAUUUUUAUGGAGCUAGAUUUCCGUAGAAAUGCAAAAUUAUAGAACACUCUUUGUGAUACAGACUUGGAUUGAUGGCAUUCUUUAUGCAUUGCAUCUUCGAUUUAAUUGAUUUGUGUUUGAAAUUUCUUUUUAUUUGUUAUUUAUUAGAAAAUUGUAUAAUAAUCGAUAUUGGGAAAGAGAGGGGAGGAAAAGUAUAAACUUGUGUCCUUACAUUGAGCACUAUCCGUGUUAAAGACGGUCCUGAUUAUACUUGAUUACUAGAAACCAAUCGGAGACGAAUUGAUGCGAAUGUCUAUUGAUUUCGAUGUUACAUUAGAAUCCGGUUAUUGGAUUAAGAGUAAACGAAUUUACUCUAACAGUACCAAUAAUCUAGUGGAUGACGUGUGCAAGUGUGAAUAUAAUUAAAUAUUAAAGAAACAUUAAUCAAUCGGAAUAGUGAAAACUUUAUAUUAUGACGAAAUAUUGGAUUUUCAAAUCGAAGUAAACCGACGAAAAAAUCGAUUGUCACGCAACUCGCGGAAGUGUGUCGUUUCUCCCACCACCGUUCCUGCUAUUGGCUGCCCGAGCAAAAAGGGAGGGGUUGUUCAUCACCGCUCAAUAAAAUAAAUUCAUGAAGAAACUGAGAUUGCUGAAAAAUCUCACAAAUACCAAAACUGUGUUAAAUAUUGAACAAUUGAUCGCAAGUUGAAUCUGAUCUGGUUUACAUCUGAUGUAAAUGAAAAAUAUACACACGAUGGGACUGAAUAUAUGUGAUGUAUAUUAUAACGCCAAAAAUGUGCAAUAAAAUGAUAAAUAUUGACUUGUGACGUUAAAUUUAUAUUCGAAGAAGAAUACGAUUCAAUUUCAAAUAUGAUAAAUCAUGUAAGUGCUGGAAAUUAAGCAAACUCGUAUCACGUGAUAGAAAAAAAAGGAAUGUAAUUGCAAAUCAUUAUUUUGCUGAUAUCAAUAUUUUUGUGAUUUUUCUACAAGAUACAAAAACAAAUAUGAUGACAAAACUUGCGGAUAAUCGCCGCUAUAGUUGAUCCGCACUGGUUAAAAAUAAGAUUUUCGUUAUUGCGCAGCGAAUCGCGAAUCACGUUGCGCAGUACUGGGCAACACGGUUCGUGCAGGUUCGGCCAUCCUCGGAAUGAGUCUCGGGGCCUAAGUACAGUGUGCUGCACGCUCGAUGCGUAAACUUGUCAUUGACGUCGCGGCCAGUUCGCGCGGUUUCUUUAAUUCGCAUCCGCGUACCAGCGAAUGACGGUAGCGGUAUGUCUGUGAAGUCCGUAAUCGUUCGGUUUUUGUGCUAAACUGCUAGAUUAAAGGUGCGAUUGUUCGCUCUAUCGCAUCCGUCUCGUGUCGAAUGAACAUCUCGAUGGAGCGUUACAUUCCUCGCGACCAUCUCGUUCGUGCAUUCUCUUUUCCUCGCUUUUUUUUAUUCUCCUAAAUUUUAACACCAACGUGAAAUAAUCACUUUUAACCGAUCCACUUAUAAGAUUGGGAAACGUUUAAUUGACUAGUUAAACGGGACUGUUGUGACGUCCAAUUUGAUAAUGGAGAAUACGCAAGCUGAGACAGCAUGUAAUUCAAAAGAUAGCCCUACGAUCUCCACUCUUAACAGAACUGACAUUAGUGAACUGUCGAAAGAAAAAGAGGAUGAAUUAUUGUUUGGCGGAGAGGAGGAAGGUGAUGAUGAAGAUGCGUUGUCUGAUGAUAGCUUGCGCUUAAGAUUAUCUGAUGAUGAGGAUGCUGAGCAAGAAGAUAUUACAACAAGCAUAAAUAUUUCAGAAUUUAAGUCGCAAGAUAAAACAGCUGAACAAUCAUCUGCAGAUGGAGAUAAGAAGAAAGAAGAAGAACAACGUCUAAAAGAAAAUCUGGAAGAAAUUACAAAGAUUGACGUCGAAGAAUCGGUGCAAAAGAAGUGUAAAGCAGCUAUUAAGGCCCCGGAAAAUUCAGCGUUACCCUCAGAUGAAUAUACACCAGAAACUAAACUAAUAGAAAAUAAUAUACAAAAUUCCGAAAUUAACAAUAUGACUGCUACCGAAUCUAGUGAGAAGUGUAGUUCUAAAUCUAGUAAAGAAUUAAACAUUACAGAAAUAGUCAGUGCAAAUGCUGAGAAAGAUAUAAGCUCACAAAAUGAUAACUUGUGUAUAAAUAUACUGGAAAAUGAUCUAUGCAAUACAGAACAAGCAAAUUGCAUUGAAAAUGAUAUAAAAGAAGUAAAUGAUGAUUGUAAAGAAGCAAAUUCCACAAAUAAUUGCAUAGAAAAUAAGUCGGACAAUGUAAACAGUAAUAAUCCCGUUCCGGAUUCUAUUAAAGAUAAGAUUUGUAAUAGCGAAAACUUAAUCAUUGUUACAACUGAUUCUAACGGUAAUGACGAUAAUUUAAUUGAGAAAGUAGUCAAUAAGACUACUGCAAAUGAUCACUCUGUAGAACACUCGAGCAUUACUAAAAUUAAUAAUAAACAAGACUCUGUGGAUUUAGUUAAACCGAAUAAUAUUAAUGAUUCAUCAAAUCUGCAAGACCCUAUUGAACAUGUGAAAAAUAAAAAUGGAAAUCAAGAAGAUAAACAUGUACCACAAAACAAAGAUACGUCAGAGGCAAAGUCCAUGCAAAAAGAAACGAGUACUUCAUUAAUGCAAAAUCAAAAUUCGUUCAAUGUAAAAGGCAUAAGAGAAUUAAUGAGCGAAGAUCGUGAUAAUAAUUCUGUAAUCGAAAUAAUAGAUGAUAACACACCCUCUAUAUUACAAGCCAUGUUAUUAAGUACUGAAAAAUCUGAUACUAAAAAUAAUCUUAAUAAUGAGAAUAAAAUUAAAAAUGAGAAUCAGACAAGUGCUGAUACGAUCGUCCCAAGAAGGAGACGAUCAAAAAGAAUUUGUGUGACACAACACUAUGCUGAAGAUAUAGAUGAAGAAGUUAAACAAGUUACAGACGGAAGAGAAAGCGGGCGGCAGAAACGAAGAACUGCUAGAAAUGCAGAAGAGAUAAUCAGAAAAAAUCUUAAUCUUAAUAGUGACAGCGAUUUUAGUGAUAGUACAGAAGAGCUUGUAACGGUGAAUCACAAAUUAAAUCAGGACGCACAUUCUUCCUCAUUAAAACGUAAUUGUCAGGACAAUGAGAUAUGUAACGGCAGUGUUAAAAAAAUGAAAAUGGAUAUCAAUUCCAAAGAAAAUAGAAACAAUGAUAUUCGGAAGCUAGCCUUCAUCGAAAAGUUUUUCCAAAGAAAUAUCAAGGAGAAACUACCGAAACUUACGCAGGAGGAACUUGAGGAACUCUUAAUUCAAAAGAUUGUUGAAACAAUCACAAUGCGUAGUGAAAUCGGACAACUUAGAGAACAAGCUCGUAUAUCCGAGAGAAAUCAAGAGAUAACGCGUGUAAAGCUACAGCAAUUGAUGAAACAAGUGAAGGAUUUCGAAAUGGUUUUGAAUCGUAAUGCGAUAGACCGCCGCACAAAUUCUGAUAAACUUGUUGCGCCUAUAAAAAUCAAUAGAUCCGUUGGUUUACAAGUAAACUUCAUAGCGGAACAUGGAAUACAGAAUUUACGGCAGGUACAACAAACGUCAUACGUUAAGUCUACAAACGUCCCUACCAGUGCUAGUACUUCACUUCCUGAAUCGAGUAGCAGCGCAACUAGCCCAAGACGCGGUGGGAUCAAGGUAAGAUCGCCCCGGCCUGUGGUGACCGUGUCUGCUCCCACCAUUUCGCAAAGUCCCAUGCAAACGGCGCCUAUUACCGUCACGCCGGCAGCUUUAGUAGUUGCCAAACCUUUGGACUCGCAACACACGUUGACAAUAACUAGUCAACCUACCGGUGUUCAGCCAAUUUUGCCUGCUCCAUCGCAGCCUACUCUUCAGCCUAUUGUUAUAAACGGCAAAAUUCCAAAUCAAGUUAAUCGCCAAGCUGCGACGCUGAUGACACCUAAGUCAAGAAAGAGCGACCUUAUUGAUCUCACAGAUGAAGAGGAAAAGAGUAAAUCAGCAAACGUUACUACAACUCCUGUACUGGAGCAGCAAGUAAAUGUAACGUCGAAGCCCGCGCAAACCUUCCAAAGGGUGAUACAAACGAUACCGACAAACGUGACGAUUGCGACACAACAAACUGGUAUAAAAGUGAUAUCUUCUAACCAACCAGCACCAACUGCCAUUGUAAAUAAUAUAAAUCCAUCCAGACUCACAUAUGUGAUGCAAGGUACUGUAGGUUCACCGAGACAAGUACUGAUAACGUCAAACACCAAUCCGCAGGUACAUUGAUACGACCAGUGACUUCAGUGACUAAUAGGCCACCCUUUCCGACUGUUACGUAUAAGACAGGAAUCUCAACAAUCGCGAAUGGCACUGUGCGCGUACUGACCACGCCGGCGUCAAGCAUACAGAUAAACAAG